GGGGUGAUAGCUCAGUUGGGAGUAGCGUACGACUGAAGAUCAGUCAGUUCAGGCUAUAUUAUCUUGUACAGCCUUGUUAUCGUAAGGUCGCCGGUUCACCGGCUCACCCCA
This 111-nucleotide transfer RNA is filed under the name Aspergillus ustus. It matches the Rfam family "tRNA". Rfam says of the family: Transfer RNA (tRNA) molecules are approximately 80 nucleotides in length. Their secondary structure includes four short double-helical elements and three loops (D, anti-codon, and T loops). The record is from Rfam by way of RNAcentral. Lineage: Eukaryota; Fungi; Ascomycota; Eurotiomycetes; Eurotiales; Aspergillaceae.